CACCAGCGCCCGACAGAUGGGGCUUUAAAGACAGAAAAUUUUAUCAAGACCUCCACAAACCAGACCCCAGAUUCCCUCAAUCGUUGAGUGAGUCCCGGGACUCGCUCCACAGGGCCAGGAUGUUCAGGGACCUAGGCUGAGCUGUCAGUGUGAGGUGACUGAGUGGGAUGUGAGGUGUCUGAGUGGGGUGUGAGGUGUCUGAGUGGGGUGUGAGGUGCCUGAGUGGGGUGUGAGGUGUCUGAGUGGGGUGUGAGGUGACUGAGUGGGGUGUGAGGUGUCUGAGUGGGGUGUGAGGUGACUGAGUGGGGUGUGAGGUGUCUGAGUGGGGUGUGAGGUGACUGAGUGGGGUGUGAGGUGACUGAGUGGGGUGUGAGGUGACUGAGUGGGAUGUGAGGUGCCUGAGUGGGGUGUGAGGUGUCUGAGUGGGGUGUGAGGUGACUGAGUGGGGUGUGAGGUGUCUGAGUGGGGUGUGAGGUGACUGAGUGGGGUGUGAGGUGACUGAGUGGGGUGUGAGGUGACUGAGUGGGGUGUGAGGUGGGGACUGGAGGGGCUGCAGUUCAGGUCACCCUCAGCCUGAUACCCAGAGGAGCUUAAAGGAGUUCCCAGGGGGAGGGUAAACACACAGGGUGUCUGAGGGUGUGUCCCUGUCUGUGCAUAACAGCCAAGGAGGCCUCAGAAGACAGGGAUCCUGGGCCUUGGAAAUUUGUCCUGAAGGAAGGCUGCCUGGAAAACUUCCCAGGGCCUGGCCGGGCAGGAGCAGGCUUUGAUUGACAGGAGGCAAAACACUGACGCCAAGUCUACCUGGGAUUGGCUCUGGCCUCCAGCUGCGCCCACACCUACCUUAGCAGGAAGGAAACUUUGGAGCCAACCUUGCCCAGACUGCCCGGCCUGGACUGAAAACUGCUAAAACACACGUGGUCAUCCACUCAGCAGGUCCUCUCCCACACCAAGUGGGCUGGCCGGUUUCUAGAUCCUUCAUAAGUGAGGGGUUGUGAAGAGGGUGUGCCGUGCCCUCCUAAGGGGGCAGGAAGGGGUCACAGCCCAGGCACUCCGAGUGGAAAGGGAGAGAAAAGCCUGCUGUUUGUCCAGGAGCUGAACAGACACUGGAGCUCUUGUCCUGGGGGGAGCGGGGGAGGCCCUGUGGCCAG
RNAcentral lists this long non-coding RNA (1148 nucleotides) under Cricetulus griseus (Chinese hamster). RNAcentral's name for it is "lncRNA (ENSCGRG00015033549.1)". Lineage: Eukaryota; Metazoa; Chordata; Mammalia; Rodentia; Cricetidae. The record is from RNAcentral.